GGGGAUGUACUGGUUUCGACGGGGUUUUUGAAGCUGGAGAAGCGAGCCGCAUGAGAUGCGUUAAAUGUCAAAAUUAAAAAUAAACGCUGAAGAUAGAAAUUUAGCAGUAGCUGCCUAAUUGCAGCUUGUCUGGCUUAGAGCACCUGCACUUUAAGACUCAGGCAUCGACUAUGCAGGAAACGACUUAUGCAAAGCUUUGCGCAUAAGGGCGUAUUAUGAAGCUACUGAACCCGAAAACCCGUUUCCGGGUGUUCGGCAGAGGGAAUGAAAAAACGGAAACUACGCUCGUAGAAGGACAGUGGACAGGAUUUCGGACAGGGGUUCGAUUCCCCUCAUCUCCA
RNAcentral lists this transfer-messenger RNA (341 nucleotides) under uncultured Eubacterium sp. It matches the Rfam family "transfer-messenger RNA". From Rfam's summary of the family: Bacterial tmRNA, also known as 10Sa RNA or SsrA, is named for its dual tRNA and mRNA-like properties. Lineage: Bacteria; Bacillati; Bacillota; Clostridia; Eubacteriales; Eubacteriaceae. The record is from RNAcentral.